Molecule: ribosomal RNA, 466 nt
Filed under: uncultured bacterium
Lineage: Bacteria
Description: partial 16S ribosomal RNA
Rfam family: Bacterial small subunit ribosomal RNA
Source: RNAcentral
GACGAACGCUGGCGGCGUGCUUAACACAUGCAAGUCGAACGGAAAGGCCCCGCUUGCAGGGUACUCGAGUGGCGAACGGGUGAGUAACACGUGGGUGAUCUGCCCUGCACUUCGGGAUAAGCUUGGGAAACUGGGUCUAAUACCGGAUAGGAACCAUCUUUAGUGUGGUGGUUGGAAAGUUUUUUCGGUGUAGGAUGAGCUCGCGGCCUAUCAGCUUGUUGGUGGGGUAAUGGCCUACCAAGGCGGCGACGGGUAGCCGGCCUGAGAGGGUGUACGGCCACAUUGGGACUGAGAUACGGCCCAGACUCCUACGGGAGGCAGCAGUGGGGAAUAUUGCACAAUGGGCGCAAGCCUGAUGCAGCGACGCCGCGUGGGGGAUGAAGGCCUUCGGGUUGUAAACUCCUUUCGCUAGGGACGAAGCUUUGUUGUGACGGUACCUAGAGAAGAAGCACCGGCUAACUACGUG